CCAACUCUCUACUAGUCAGUGAACAGAGAACGGAGAGCACUAUCGCUUGAGGUAGCGGAGAGCAUCAAGUGGAUAAACUCUGUCUAAUUUUCAGCUAAUUCCCCUUCAGUGCUGGUCGGACACGGACCAUACACCAUCCCCGAGUUGAUUUUUUUUGUCUGUGGGUGACCCGAACUGUUGGACGAAUUGAAAAAUAUUAUAAUUUGGUGUCAUAUCUAAGCAGAAACGAAAGUAUUGAGAGUGGUAUCCGAGGCUAGCCAGUUGGCUAACUGGGAAGGUUGCCUAGCUAACUACUGCUGAGAAAAUAAGAAGCGGAGGGAGACCCCAACGGCAAAAAGGGCCAUCGACGUGAGCUGUAUCCUGAAGAGGAGCUCUCCGUUUUUCUGGACACAUCAGGCGGAGCCGGAGUCCAUUUUGCUGUGUUCUACUCUGAUAAUUUCGGAGGCUUAGAGCCUCUGCUCUUUCCCUGCACAGUGAGUCCUCAAUAACUCCUCGGAGCUCAGGCCCUCCACAGACUAACAGAAUGGAAGAAGAGAGAGAAGCAGGAGGGAGAGAGAAGGCCCUUAAGGACUCCAAGAGAUAUAUAAAACAAUGCAGUACUCCUCUCUAAUGAAAGCCAGGAAGUGGGACAACCAAAGUUUUUUUUCUUCUUCUGAAUAACAUCAUUUUUCACACUGAUUGUGGUGGUAAUGGAGAAUGUUAAGAGAUGAGUAAUGGAACACAUUCAUGUUCAUUAAUCCAAAUUGUUUAUGUGGACUGGCUGGAUGUUUCUUUGAGGGCCUCUGAAACUCUAAGCCUACGGGCCUGGUUAUUAAAUUGUCCACUCAUUUAA
This is a long non-coding RNA of Salvelinus sp. IW2-2015, 832 nucleotides long. RefSeq lists it as uncharacterized. The record is from RefSeq and is a predicted model, not a curated record. NCBI's taxonomy places the organism in Eukaryota, Metazoa, Chordata, Actinopteri, Salmoniformes, Salmonidae.